CCCCUUUCAUCGCGCGGUCAUACUGCCUAUAUGUAUCCCUGUCGAGCAAUCGACUAUGGCGCUAGAGGGCGCUGCGAAAUAAGCGUUGUGGACCCGGGGGCAGUACCCGGCGCCUCCACCAGUUUCGCCGGGAAUGCCAAUCGGUUUUCCCGGCAUAUGGGGGCGAAUCAGGAUCGACACGCGUGGUAAAGGCAGAGGUCCGCGCCCGGCAUGGUUCCGCCGUUAUCGGGCCGAAUCGCUAAAUGCGAAUGAUAACGACGAGAUGGUUGCUGUCGCUGCGUAAGUGGCCUCAGUAGCAAAGUCGGAAUUCCUGGAAACCUCAUCCGUUUCCAGGUGGGGUUUGGGGGACCCAGCAACAGAACCCCCCACU
Molecule: transfer-messenger RNA, 370 nt
Filed under: Alphaproteobacteria bacterium
Lineage: Bacteria; Pseudomonadati; Pseudomonadota; Alphaproteobacteria
Rfam family: Alphaproteobacteria transfer-messenger RNA
About the family: Bacterial tmRNA, also known as 10Sa RNA or SsrA, is named for its dual tRNA and mRNA-like properties.
Source: RNAcentral